AUACGUAGGUGGCAAGCGUUAUCCGGAAUCAUUGGGCGUAAAGGGUGCGUAGGCGGCUUCUUAAGUUUGUAGUGAAAUCGUAGGGCUCAACUCUAUCUAGCUACAAAAACUGGGAGGCUGGAGUGCGGUAGAGGCUAGUGGAAUUCCUAGUGACGCGGGAAAAUGCGUAGAUAUUAGGAGGAACACCGGUGGCGAAGGCGACUAGCUGGGCCGUAACUGACGCUGAGGCACGAAAGCGUGGGGAGCAAAUAGGAUUAGAUACCCUGGUAGUCCACGCUGUAAACGAUGAAUACUAGGUGUGGGGGGACUGACCCCCUCCGUGCCGCAGUUAACACAAUAAGUAUUCCACCUGGGGAGUACGGCCGCAAGGUUGAAACUCAAAUGAAUUGGCGGGG
This 395-nucleotide ribosomal RNA is filed under the name uncultured bacterium. RNAcentral's name for it is "partial 16S ribosomal RNA". It matches the Rfam family "Bacterial small subunit ribosomal RNA", at positions 523 to 918 of the family's 1533-position model. The record is from RNAcentral.